Molecule: ribosomal RNA, 486 nt
Filed under: uncultured bacterium
Lineage: Bacteria
Description: partial 16S ribosomal RNA
Rfam family: Bacterial small subunit ribosomal RNA
Source: RNAcentral
AUUGAACGCUGGCGGCAUGCCUUACACAUGCAAGUCGAACGGCAGCGCGGACUUCGGUCUGGCGGCGAGUGGCGAACGGGUGAGUAAUACAUCGGAACGUACCCUGUUGUGGGGGAUAACUAGUCGAAAGAUUAGCUAAUACCGCAUACGACCUGAGGGUGAAAGUGGGGGACCGGAAACGGCCUCAUGCAGCAGGAGCGGCCGAUGUCUGAUUAGCUAGUUGGUGGGGUAAAGGCCCACCAAGGCGACGAUCAGUAGCUGGUCUGAGAGGACGAUCAGCCACACUGGGACUGAGACACGGCCCAGACUCCUACGGGAGGCAGCAGUGGGGAAUUUUGGACAAUGGGGGCAACCCUGAUCCAGCAAUGCCGCGUGUGUGAAGAAGGCCUUCGGGUUGUAAAGCACUUUUGUCCGGAAAGAAAUCGCGCUGGUUAAUACCUGGCGUGGAUGACGGUACCGGAAGAAUAAGCACCAGCUAACUACGUG